Gymnogyps californianus (California condor) is the source of this 1222-nucleotide long non-coding RNA. RefSeq lists it as uncharacterized. Lineage: Eukaryota; Metazoa; Chordata; Aves; Accipitriformes; Cathartidae. The transcript is spliced from 3 exons. The record is from RefSeq and is a predicted model, not a curated record.
ACGUGAUGGAGCCCUGCUUUCCUGGAGGUGGCUAAACACCUGCCUGCCUGGAAGUAGUCAGACUUCAGAAAACCCAGAGAGAGACCUUGUGCUAUCAUCACUGGAAGGAUGGACAAGUAAAAGCAAACUAGCUUGAGUUCAUCUUUGACUUUGACUAUGACAGCGUGGUGAGAAAGAAGAAGAGUGGAAAGAAAGGCAAGGAAGAGUUAUCAAAAAUACUUCUGAUGGUAUCUUUACAUUAUUAUCCUCUGAGUUUACUCUAAGUGUACACUGCUGAAGAGAAUAACACUUGAAUGCAAAUUUCUCUCCCCUCAAAACAGGAAUUUUGUAACUUGCAAGUGUGGAGGUAUGUCUCUACACAUAUGUCUCUAAUGUCAUGGUACUAGCAAGCACAUCAAAUCAGUGAUGUACCAUGUCCAGGGGGUUAAUGCCCAGAAUUGCUUGGGGGCAGCUCUGGGAGCUACUGUCCAUGGGGAGUUAAGGUAUUUAGACUAAAUACUUCAAAAGGAAAGUAGCUUGCAAAAAGAGUAGAUAGACAAAGAUGGUUGUGGCAUCUAGAAGCAACAUUUAUGGGAUGGGAGGAAGACUGAAGUGUGUUCUUGUUUAUAUCAAAUGUUUACUUCUUGAUUGUCUAUGCUUACAGGGAACCAUUUUUGGGUUGCAAACUGGUAUAUCUUCUUAGCUUUAAAGUCAUUAUAUGUGAGAAUUUUUUCACAUCCAGUCAUUAUCCCUAUACAAUAUGUGGAUUAUUCUUGAAAGGAGUUUUACAUUAAAAGCUUUCUUGUCUUUACAAGUGAUAGCUUUUUGGGGCAGGCAGAAAGGGACCUGAACAGUAUGUGUGAAAACCAUAGUACCUUGAGCGGUGCUUUGUGGAGAUAAGAAAUUUAUUUUUUAUUUCUGUUUGGAGAAAACUAAUUCAAAAUGGUUUAAAAUAUUUACAAAGAGCAUUGAAUCACUUGGCUUAGCUUUAAUGAUGGUAGAAAGACACUUCACUGCCUUCUAGGUAUGUAGCAAAUGGGAUGUUAUUUCUUAGCAGGAGAUGUAACACUACUUCUUACAUGCUUAAGAAUUCAAAUUUUUGUUUUCAAUGGCAGCAUUGUUCUUAAAGCGGUGAGUUUAGAUGCCAGUGAUUCCUUCCUUCAAGUUGCUGUCAUGAGCUUUCUAACCUAUUUCUGUAUGCCCUCAAUGUAUGAGCUACCUACAAAUAUUUUUUAAGACUAAA